UACGGAGGGUGCAAGCGUUGUCCGGAUUUAUUGGGUUUAAAGGGUGCGUAGGCGGUCGAAUAAGUCAGUGGUGAAAUCCUGCAGCUUAACUGUAGCAUUGCCAUUGAUACUGUUUGACUUGAGUACAGACGAGGUAGGCGGAAUUGAUAGUGUAGCGGUGAAAUGCAUAGAUACUAUCAAGAACACCGAUUGCGAAGGCAGCUUACUAGGCUGUAACUGACGCUGAGGCACGAAAGCGUGGGGAGCAAACAGG
Molecule: ribosomal RNA, 253 nt
Filed under: uncultured bacterium
Lineage: Bacteria
Description: partial 16S ribosomal RNA
Rfam family: Bacterial small subunit ribosomal RNA
Source: RNAcentral